Long non-coding RNA from Cavia porcellus (domestic guinea pig), 721 nucleotides. RefSeq lists it as uncharacterized. The record is from RefSeq and is a predicted model, not a curated record. NCBI's taxonomy places the organism in Eukaryota, Metazoa, Chordata, Mammalia, Rodentia, Caviidae. The transcript is spliced from 3 exons.
ACCUUUCCUCUGCGGAGGCGCUGGCCUGUGCGCCCCCUGGUGGCCAGCGGUGUAAUCGGCACCGUCUGCCCAGAGACUGUUAGGAGUUCUGAGAGGCUGCUGACUUAGGCAGAAAUAUUUAUCGCAGGCAGCCAGACAGGGCUGGGCCCUCGAGGAGGGGAGUGCGGGAGACCAGAGCACAUUACUGCUGUGACUGGAGGUGAUGCGCUGAAGGCCAGAUCUCCAGACAAAGGCAGGAGCUAUCCUUCCUUCCACGACAUUCCCUGCUCUUAACUGCUGGUGUUCCUCGGAAUUCAUUCUUCACUUUGGGGGAGCACAGACUGGGAGCAUCGGACACCUAGCAGGGUUGGAAAAAGAAGAUACAUAGGAAGCAAGAAUUUGUCCUAUAACAGAAGGGACAGUCACACAGCAGACUGGUCAUAAGUAGGAUCUUUGACACCAUUCAAGUUAGGGGCUACCCCACAGCUGUCACAUGCCGAGUCAUCUUGGACGAGUUGUUUAAGUAUUUUGGAUUUUAGUUUCCAUGUCUUUAAAUUGCAGAUGAUGAAAUCUGGGUUGUUAAGGUUAAAUAAAAUAAUAUUUACUUUUCAUUUUGAUUCCAUCUAAUUUGUGCUAAACCUAUGCAAUGCCCUUUGUCUAUGAAAUACAAUCCAUCAAAUCUACACUUUCAGAAAGAGACCAUCAUCGUAAUGGUCUGUAAUUAGAGAAAUAGACUUUGGAC